Molecule: ribosomal RNA, 354 nt
Filed under: uncultured bacterium
Lineage: Bacteria
Description: partial 16S ribosomal RNA
Rfam family: Bacterial small subunit ribosomal RNA
Source: RNAcentral
CCUACGGGUGGCAGCAGUAGGGAAUUUUCGGCAAUGGGGGGAACCCUGACCGAGCAACGCCGCGUGCAGGAAGCAGGAAUUCGUUCUGUAAACUUCUGUUCUAAAGGCAGAAAGACGGAUGGAGGAACUGACAUCCGAGUGACGGUACUUUAUGAGAAAGCCACGGCUAACUCCGUGCCAGCAGCCGCGGUAAUACGUAGGUGGCAAGCGUUAUCCGGAAUUAUUGUGCGUAAAGCGGGAACAGGCGGCAGCAAAGGUCGGUGGGGAAAGACUGAAGCUUAACUGCAGUAAGCCAUAGACACCGGGCAGCUAGAGUGCAGUAGGGGAUCGUGGAAUUCCAUGUGUAGCGGUGAA